UUUUUUUUUUGGUCUUCGUAGGGCCACACCCUCAGCAUAUGGAGGAUGCCAGAUCCUUAACCCAGUGAGCAAGGCCAGGGAUUGAACCUAUGUCCUCAUGGAUACCAGUUGGGUUCAUUACUGCUGAGCCACAAUGGGAACUCCCCAUAAUAGUUUCUACCUCUUCAUCCUCUACCCCUAUCCUGCCCCUCCCCCAAGACCCUCUACCCACUGGUAACGACUGGUUGGUUCCCUUUACCCAUUAGUCUGAUUGGAUUUGACUAGAAAGCUCAUUGGUGCAGAUAGGAAGAAUGUACUAACAGAGAGGGCCAGUGAAGAGGUUGGUCCAGAUUAGGGCCCACGCUGGGGGGUGGCAGUAGGAAUGGGGAGGAUUGCUCUGGUUGACUAACCUCUACUCACAUUUUAAGGCUCAGCACAGACAGCAGCUCAAUGGACCUUCAGUCUUAGGAGCUCUUCCUCUGGCGCCCUGAAACCCUUCUCCCAUAGCCAUAAGCACGGGCAGAGUUUGGUGGUGGUUAACAGCAAUAGUUUAGCUGGCUUUAAAGCUUUUUAAGCCAUUGCUUCUUGCCUGAACUGCUGACUAGUUGUGUGACCUUAGGCCAAUUGCUUAUUUGCUCUGUUGCCUAGGUUACCUUAUCUAUGAAGUAAAGAUAAUAAUAGUACCUAUCCUUUAGGGUUAUUGUGAUGAUUAAACGACUUAAUGAGUUUAAAGCACUUACACAGUGUCUAGCUGUGAUUAAGUGUGCAAUAAAAGUGGGUUUUAUUACCAUCACACCACUCUGCUGCAGGGGAAUCGCGUGUUUACGGUUCUGUCUGACCAAUCUGGAAGCUUCUUGGGGAUAGGUCUCCUUGGGAGUUCCCGUCAUGGCUCAGUGGUUAAUGAAUCUGACUAGGAACCAUGAGGUUGCGGGUUUGAUCCUUGGCCUCGCUCAUUGGGUUAAGGAUCUCGCGUGGCUGUGGCACAGGCCGGCAGCUACAGCUUGGAUUCAACCCCUAACCUGGGAACCUCCAUAUGCCGUGGGUGCGGCCCUAGAGAAAGACAAAAAAAAAAAAAGACAAAAGAUCCAUUUAGGAAUUAAAUCAUGAAUCCUUGGGGGACUAACUGGACAUGAAGGAGAGGGUUCAUGAGGAGAAUAAAAUCAUUCCCAGGUUCUGGGACAGGAGGGUGAUGGGGAUGCCAUGGCUGAGACAGGGAGUUUGGGAGAAGGAGUUGGUUCAGAGGAUAAGUGGCUAAUCUGUCCAAGAUCAAAUCUAUAGGAACUAAUGAAGCUGAGCUUGGAACCCAGGUCUGUUCACAUUCCAUAGACAGUUUAUAUAACCUGCAUGUCUACACCUGGCACGGUACCUAACACAGUGGGUGUUUAAUAAUAUAUACCAGAUGAGCUUGUGAAUGCUUGAAUGAAUGGAUUUCUUUGGUAGAUGCCAGGGUAUCAGGGUUGCUUUUAUUUUAUGGCCAAACAGAGGUCUGUAGAGGUGGAGGGGGUGGGGCGGAAGAAAAACAGAAAGAAGAAAAGAAAGUCACCAUGAAAAAUUAAUGAAGGAAAAACUGGUCACCACUAUUUCAUGUGAAUAGACACGAGGAGCCAUCUUCCUUCUUGUCCCCUUUUUCUGACAUUUCAGGACUUUUUUUUUAUGAUCUCCAGCUUCAUAACAUACUCUUGCAAACUGCUAGGAGGGAUGACUAAAACUACCCACCAGGAAGUUUUGCAAAGUCCAAG
This 1718-nucleotide long non-coding RNA is filed under the name Sus scrofa (pig). RNAcentral's name for it is "lncRNA (ENSSSCG00050006527.1)". Lineage: Eukaryota; Metazoa; Chordata; Mammalia; Artiodactyla; Suidae. The record is from RNAcentral.